This 509-nucleotide ribosomal RNA is filed under the name Streptomyces sp. SCAU5111. Its description in RNAcentral is "bacterial SSU rRNA". It matches the Rfam family "Bacterial small subunit ribosomal RNA", at positions 116 to 638 of the family's 1533-position model. The record is from RNAcentral. Lineage: Bacteria; Bacillati; Actinomycetota; Actinomycetes; Kitasatosporales; Streptomycetaceae.
CGUGGGCAAUCUGCCCUGCACUCUGGGACAAGCCCUGGAAACGGGGUCUAAUACCGGAUACGACCAUCUCGGGCAUCCGAUGGUGGUGGAAAGCUCCGGCGGUGCAGGAUGAGCCCGCGGCCUAUCAGCUUGUUGGUGGGGUGAUGGCCUACCAAGGCGACGACGGGUAGCCGGCCUGAGAGGGCGACCGGCCACACUGGGACUGAGACACGGCCCAGACUCCUACGGGAGGCAGCAGUGGGGAAUAUUGCACAAUGGGCGGAAGCCUGAUGCAGCGACGCCGCGUGAGGGAUGACGGCCUUCGGGUUGUAAACCUCUUUCAGCAGGGAAGAAGCGCAAGUGACGGUACCUGCAGAAGAAGCACCGGCUAACUACGUGCCAGCAGCCGCGGUAAUACGUAGGGUGCGAGCGUUGUCCGGAAUUAUUGGGCGUAAAGAGCUCGUAGGCGGCUUGUCACGUCGGAUGUGAAAGCCCGGGGCUUAACCCCGGGUCUGCAUUCGAUACGGGCA